Molecule: RNA transcript, 1267 nt
Organism: Sapajus apella (tufted capuchin)
Lineage: Eukaryota; Metazoa; Chordata; Mammalia; Primates; Cebidae
Gene name: calcium signal-modulating cyclophilin ligand-like
Exons: 2
Source: RefSeq, a predicted model, not a curated record
AUGGAGUCAAUGGCCGUCGCCACCAACGAUGGGGCAGGCUGGGGUCCCGGUGGGGUCAGGCCUGUCGGCUUUCCAGCAUCGGGCCUAUCUGCGUUGGAGAAAGCUGCUCAUGAACUGGGAACAGCGCAUCAACUGGAUCAUGGGCUUUCACAGGCCCGGGAGCCGCACUGAAGAAGAAAAUCAAACAAAAUCAAAGCAGCAGGACAGUGAUAAACUGAAGUCCCUCAGCGUUCCUUCAGUGUCAAAGCCAGCAGUGCUAGGUGAUUCGGUCAGUACAGGAACAACUGACCAGCAGGGUGGUAUGGCCGAGGUAAAGGGGACCCAGCUGGGAGACAAACUGGACUCUUUCAUUAAACCCCCAAGUGCAGUAAUGAUGUCAGCCCUGGGCUCCAGCAGCGGAACAGAGGGGACAGCGGACACAGUCCACAGGGGUUCUCGUCAUGGCCUAGAGCAGUAUCUUUCCAGAUUCGAAGAAGCAGUGAAGCUAAAGAAACCACUGAUUAGUGAAAAACUCAAUCAAGAGGGUGGAAGUACAACAGAAGAAUUUGACUCUUUUCGAAUAUUUAGAUUGGUGGGAUGUGCUCUUCUUGCUCUUGGAGUCAGAGCUUUUGUUUGCAAAUACUUGUCCAUAUUUGCUCCAUUUCUUACUUUACAACUAGCAUACAUGGGAUUGUACAAAUAGUUUCCCAAGAGUGAAAAGAAGAUAAAGACAACAAUACUAACAGCUGCACUUCUAUUAUCGGGAAUUCCUGCUGAAGUGAUAAAUCGAUCAAUGGACACCUGUGGCAAAAUGGGCAAAGUCUUCACAGAUCUCUGUGUCACUUUUUCACUUUUUAUCUUUUUUCAUGAACUGCUUGAUUAUUGAGGCUCUGAAGUACCAUGAAGCCUGCAGAACUGAGAAGGAGAAGCUUACAAAAAAAAAAAAUUGUCUUCUACAUUGCAAUGCCUCUAAAGGAGGCAAAUUGGUUUACGCCUUCAUGUAAUUCUUUUACUUUAGGGGUUGUAAAACUACUUUAUUAGAAGUAGAAUGGCAGAUACCCUGAUUGAAAAGGGUUGAGUUUGUAUUAGUACUGAAAUGAAGAAUAGGGUACCAAUGUCAUUAAUUGAUUUUUCUUGUUUAAUCAGAACCCCUGUUCCGUACUUUUCCUCUGACUUCUCAGGUUUGUAAUUCUUCUUUUGGGAGCUGAGCUAUUGCUUCUAGGAGAGCAGAUAAAUGUGGGCUCAGCCAGCCCUAAAGACUGCCUUUUGUAUCUGUGUCAUUCUGUCC